RNAcentral lists this unclassified non-coding RNA (329 nucleotides) under soil metagenome. RNAcentral's name for it is "partial contains 5.8S ribosomal RNA, internal transcribed spacer 2, and large subunit ribosomal RNA". The stretch from base 1 to 120 matches the Rfam family "5.8S ribosomal RNA", at positions 35 to 154 of the family's 154-position model. The record is from RNAcentral.
GAUGAAGAACGUAGCGAAAUGCGAUAAGUAGUGUGAAUUGCAGAAUUCAGUGAAUCAUCGAAUCUUUGAACGCACAUUGCGCCCCUUGGUAUCCCGAGGGGCAUGCCUGUUCGAGCGUCAUUUCACCACUCAAGCCUGGCUUGGUGUUGGGCGACGUCCCCUUUGGGGACGCGCCUCGAAACGCUCGGCGGCGUGGCACUGGCUUUAAGCGUAGCAGAAUCUUUCGCUUUGGAAGUCGGGGCCCCGUCUGCCGGAAGACCUACUCGCAAGGUUGACCUCGGAUCAGGCAGGGAUACCCGCUGAACUUAAGCAUAUCAAUAAGCGGAGGA